AGUGGCGGACGGGUGAGUAACACGUAAGAAUUUGCCUUUAGGAGGGGGACAACAACUAGAAAUGGUUGCUAAUACCCCAUAUGCUUUCGAGUGAAAUGGAUUUUUCCGCCUAGAGAGAAGCUUGCGGCUGAUUAGCUUGUUGGUGAGGUAAUGGCUCACCAAGGCGACGAUCAGUAUCUGGUUUGAGAGGACGAUCAGACACACUGGAACUGAGACACGGUCCAGACUCCUACGGGAGGCAGCAGUGGGGAAUUUUCCGCAAUGGGCGAAAGCCUGACGGAGCAAUACCGCGUGAGGGAUGACGGCCUAUGGGUUGUAAACCUCUUUUUUCAGGGAGGAAUCAAUGACGUGUACCUGAAGAAUAAGCAUCGGCUAACUCCGUGCCAGCAGCCGCGGUAAGACGGGGGAUGCAAGUGUUAUCCGGAAUCACUGGGCGUAAAGCGUCUGUAGGUGGUCCAAUAAGUCAACUGUUAAAUCUUGAGGCUCAACCUCAAAAUCGCAGUCGAAACUAUUAGACUAGAGUAUAGUAGGGGUAAAGGGAAUUUCCAGUGGAGCGGAGAAAUGCGUAGAGAUUGGAAAGAACACCGAUGGCGAAGGCACUUUACUGGGCUAUUACUAACACUCAGAGACGAAAGCUAGGGUAGCAAAUGGGAUUAGAUACCCCAGUAGUCCUAGCCGUAAACAAUGGAUACUAGAUGUU
This 700-nucleotide ribosomal RNA is filed under the name uncultured bacterium. Its description in RNAcentral is "bacterial SSU rRNA". It matches the Rfam family "Bacterial small subunit ribosomal RNA", at positions 94 to 824 of the family's 1533-position model. The record is from RNAcentral.